UUGAUGGUCUUUGCAAAUACA
Molecule: non-coding RNA, 21 nt
Filed under: Arabidopsis thaliana (thale cress)
Lineage: Eukaryota; Viridiplantae; Streptophyta; Magnoliopsida; Brassicales; Brassicaceae
Source: RNAcentral